CCUACGGUGUGCAGCAGUGAGGAAUAUUGGUCAAUGGGCGAAAGCCUGACGCAGCGACGCCGCGUGAGGGAUGAAGGUCUUCGGAUCGUAAACCUCUGUCAGCAGGGAAGAACGGUCACUGUGCUAAUCAGCAGUGAAUUGACGGUACCUGCAAAGGAAGCACCGGCUAACUCCGUGCCAGCAGCCGCGGUAAUACGGAGGGUGAGAGCGUUAAUCGGAAUUACUGGGCGUAAAGCGCUCGUAGGCGGUAUGUCAAGUCAAGGGUGAAAUCCCCGCGCUCAACGUGGGAACUGACUUUGAACUGGGCAAACGUGAGUGUGUGAGAGGAUAGUGGAAUUCCAGGUGUAGGAGUGAAAUCCGUAGAUAUCUGGAGGAACAGCAGUGGAGAAGGCGACUAUCUGGCACAUAACUGACGCUGAGGAGCGAAAGCGUGGGUAGCAAACAGGAUUAGAUACCCUUGUAGUC
This 465-nucleotide ribosomal RNA is filed under the name uncultured bacterium. Its description in RNAcentral is "partial 16S ribosomal RNA". It matches the Rfam family "Bacterial small subunit ribosomal RNA", at positions 338 to 795 of the family's 1533-position model. The record is from RNAcentral.